UGGAGGAAAGUAGGGGAUCGCAAGACCUUACGCUUUUGGAGCGGCCGAUGCCUGAUUAGCUAGUUGGUGGGGUAAAGGCUUACCAAGGCAACGAUCAGUAGUUGGUCCGAGAGGACGGCCAGCCACACUGGGACUGAGACACGGCCCAGACUCCUACGGGAGGCAGCAGUGGGGAAUUUUGGACAAUGGGCGCAAGCCUGAUCCAGCAAUGCCGCGUGAGUGAAGAAGGCCUUCGGGUUGUAAAGCUCUUUCAGUCGAGAAGAAAAGAUUGUGACGAAUAAUCACAAUUCAUGACGGUAUCGACAGAAGAAGCACCGGCUAACUACGUGCCAGCAGCCGCAGUAAUACGUAGGGUGCGAGCGUUAAUCGGAAUUACUGGGCGUAAAGCGUGCGCAGGUGGUUUUGUAAGUCAGAUGUGA
RNAcentral lists this ribosomal RNA (419 nucleotides) under uncultured ammonia-oxidizing beta proteobacterium. Its description in RNAcentral is "bacterial SSU rRNA". It matches the Rfam family "Bacterial small subunit ribosomal RNA", at positions 197 to 597 of the family's 1533-position model. Lineage: Bacteria; Pseudomonadati; Pseudomonadota; Betaproteobacteria. The record is from RNAcentral.